AUCGUGAAACCGCGAACGGCUCAUUAUAACAGCUAUAUUUUACUUGAUUUUGAUAAUUCACUUGGAUAACUGUGGUAAUUCUAGAGCURAUACAUGCACCUAAGCUCUGACCUUACGGGAAGAGUGCACUUAUUAGAACAAAACCAGGCGGCUUCGGUCGUUUGGCGUUGACUCAGAAUAAUUAAGCUGAUCGCACGAUCUUGUAUSGGCGACGUAUCAUUCAAGUAUCUGCCUUAUCAACUUUCGAUGGUAGUGUAUUUGACUACCAUGGUGGUGACGGGUAACGGAGAAUAAGGGUUCGACUCCGGAGAAGGGGCCUGAGAAAUGGCCACUAUGUCUAAGGAUAGCAGCAGGCGCGCAAAUUACCCACUCUCAGAAUGAGGAGGUAGUGACGAGGAAUAACGAGACCGUUCUCUACGAGGCCGGUCAUCGGAAUGGGUAUAAUUUAAACCCUUGGAACGAGUAUCUAUGAGAGGGCAAGUCUGGUGCCAGCAGCCGCGGUAAUUCCAGCUCUCAAAAUGCAUAUAAUUAUUGCUGCGGUUAAAAAGCUCGUAGUUGGAUAUGUGCUCUUGACUUAGUCCACCUUCGGGUGCGUACUAGGCUCUUGGGCUUUGUGCCUGYUUAACGUCGUAGGCUUUAUUGUUUGCGGCGGGUAGCUGGUGAUUUUACUUUGAAUAAAUCAGAGUGCUUCACACAAGCGGUUUGCUUGAAUGUUUUUGCAUGGAAUAAUAGAAGAGGAUUUUGGUUGGAUUUUAUUGGUUUUAGAGAUUGAAAUAAUGGUUAACAGAGACUGACGGGGGCAUUCGUAUCGCUGCGUGAGAGGUGAAAUUCUUGGACCGCAGCGCGACGUACAACAGCGAAAGCAUUUGCCAAGAAAGUCUUCAUUAAUCAAGAACG
This 897-nucleotide ribosomal RNA is filed under the name Paurodontella longicaudata. Its description in RNAcentral is "SSU rRNA". Lineage: Eukaryota; Metazoa; Nematoda; Chromadorea; Rhabditida; Sphaerulariidae. The record is from RNAcentral.